Molecule: ribosomal RNA, 253 nt
Filed under: uncultured bacterium
Lineage: Bacteria
Description: partial 16S ribosomal RNA
Rfam family: Bacterial small subunit ribosomal RNA
Source: RNAcentral
UACGUAGGGUGCAAGCGUUAAUCGGAAUUACUGGGCGUAAAGCGUGCGCAGGCGGCUUUGCAAGUCAGAUGUGAAAUCCCCGGGCUUAACCUGGGAACUGCAUUUGUGACUGCAUGGCUGGAGUGCGGCAGAGGGGGAUGGAAUUCCGCGUGUAGCAGUGAAAUGCGUAGAUAUGCGGAGGAACACCGAUGGCGAAGGCAAUCCCCUGGGCCUGAACUGACGCUCAUGCACGAAAGCGUGGGGAGCAAACAGG